RNAcentral lists this ribosomal RNA (253 nucleotides) under uncultured bacterium. RNAcentral's name for it is "partial 16S ribosomal RNA". It matches the Rfam family "Bacterial small subunit ribosomal RNA", at positions 524 to 776 of the family's 1533-position model. The record is from RNAcentral.
UACGUAGGUGGCAAGCGUUGUCCGGAAUCAUUGGGCGUAAAGAGCGCGUAGGCGGCUUGCCAGGUCCGAUGUGAAAGCCUGGGGCUUAACUCCAGAACUGCAUCGGAAACCGGCUUGCUAGAGUCUGGGAGAGGGGAGUGGAAUUCCUGGUGUAGCGGUGAAAUGCGUAGAUAUCAGGAGGAACACCGGUAGCGAAGGCGGCUCCCUGGAACAGUACUGACGCUGAGGCGCGAAAGCUAGGGGAGCAAACAGG